RNAcentral lists this ribosomal RNA (223 nucleotides) under uncultured bacterium. RNAcentral's name for it is "partial 16S ribosomal RNA". It matches the Rfam family "Bacterial small subunit ribosomal RNA", at positions 15 to 228 of the family's 1533-position model. The record is from RNAcentral.
GAUCAUGGCUCAGGAUGAACGCUAGCUACAGGCUUAACACAUGCAAGUCGAGGGGCAGCAUGGUCUUAGCUUGCUAAGGCCGAUGGCGACCGGCGCACGGGUGAGUAACACGUAUCCAACCUGCCGUCUACUCUUGGACAGCCUUCUGAAAGGAAGAUUAAUACAAGAUGGCAUCAUGAGUUCACAUGUUCACAUGAUACGAAGUCGUUACGGUAGACGAGGU